AUUGAACGCUGGCGGCAGGCCUAACACAUGCAAGUCGAGCGGAUGCAGGGAGCUUGCUCCUGGAUUCAGCGGCGGACGGGUGAGCAAUGCCUAGGAAUCUGCCUGGUAGCGGGGGAUAACGUCCGGAAACGGGCGCUAAUACCGCAUACGUCCUGAGGGCGUAAGUGGGGGAGCUUCGGACCUUCCGCUCUCAGAUGAGCCUAUGUCGGAUUAGCUAGUUGGUGGGGUAAAGGCCUACCAAGGCGACGAUCCGUAACUGGUCUGAGAGGAUGAUCAGUCACACUGGAACUGAGACACGGUCCAGACUCCUACGGGAGGCAGCAGUGGGGAAUAUUGGACAAUGGGCGAAAGCCUGAUCCAGCCAUGCCGCGUGUGUGAAGAAGGUCUUCGGAUUGUAAAGCACUUUAAGUGGGAAAGAAGGGCAGUAAGUUAAUACCUUGCUGUUUUGACGUUACCAAAAGAAUAAGCACCGGCUAACUUCGUG
RNAcentral lists this ribosomal RNA (484 nucleotides) under uncultured bacterium. Its description in RNAcentral is "partial 16S ribosomal RNA". It matches the Rfam family "Bacterial small subunit ribosomal RNA", at positions 30 to 507 of the family's 1533-position model. The record is from RNAcentral.